AACUUUUGGCAACGGAUCUCUUGGCUCUCGCAUCGAUGAAGAACGCAGCGAAAUGCGAUACGUAAUGUGAAUUGCAGAAUUCACUGAAUCAUCGAAUCUUUGACCGCACCUUGCGCCCUUUGGCAUUCCGAGGGGCACACCCGUUUGAGUGUCGUGACAUUCUCAAAAACCUUCUUGGUUUCUUGACCAGGAAGGCUUUUGGACUUUGGAGGCUUUUGCUGGCCUUCCUUUGUUGAAGCCUGCUCCUCUGAAAUGUAUUACUGGGGUCUGCUUGCCCUACCCUUGACGAUAUGAUGUUUGCAACGUUCCGGGUUUUGCACUGUUCCUGCUUCUAACCGUCUCAUAGAAGACAAAGGUCAAAUGAUUGCCACUUGACCCACUAACCUUGACCUCACAUCGGGUGAGACUACCCGCUGAACUUAAGCAUAUCAAUAAGCGGGGGCU
RNAcentral lists this unclassified non-coding RNA (444 nucleotides) under uncultured Russula. RNAcentral's name for it is "sequence contains ITS2". The stretch from base 1 to 154 matches the Rfam family "5.8S ribosomal RNA". The record is from RNAcentral. Lineage: Eukaryota; Fungi; Basidiomycota; Agaricomycetes; Russulales; Russulaceae.